ACUAAUCCAUUAAAUGUAUGUUUUCCACACUUAAGGAACCAAAGAAACCUGCAGGCUCUGUCUAUUCACCCAGGGACCGCUUUCCAGGUGGUGAAAUGAACCCAGCUUCUUAGUGGAAUGGAGCGAUCACUGGAUGCCAGUAACACUACCCUACAAUGUGUAGAGGGGGAAAUGAAGGCUAGCUCAUCCGAAGGAAACUACAGGGGAAUUUUCGAUCAGCAGAAUGCAAUUAUCCAAGUUGGAAUUGUUCCAGGACACCAAAAGCGAACUUUAAAGGCACAAUUUACCAACUGGGUGCACCAGACACCGGGCUGGCUCCUGCACGCCUCUCCUCCAGUUAAGCAGCGCAACCUGCCACCAUUUUGCCAGUGGACUCUAUUUACUUGGGUUCUGCAUUACCUGCCAAGCGCUCACUCUGUGGAAUUCCCAGCAAAGAGAAAGGAACAACUGGGGGAAAUUUUUGUUAACAUCCUUUCUUUUAACUUUCCAUAGCAGAGGGGAAUGCAUCAAUGUGGAGCAGAUGUGCUGAGACCAAAUGCUCUCUUCCUCAUGAUUACAGUUGGUUAUACCUGUGGAUAGGCGAGCUAAUUCCGCUGCAAAUGUGCAAGAGAGGGUAGUACUAACGUACAAUGUGUGGUCCUGGAGGCUUUGUUCCCACGUAAUAGGGGGCUUCGUUUCAUGAGACCUGGCACGUUGAGAAGAAAACUGAAGCAAAACAGCCCCGUGCAGUUGGCAUCAUGGGCUAUCUCUGUGCAGCUUAGAGAGUGCCUGAGUUCUCAGUGAUGUUGACAUAAAUAUCAUGGAAUUUAUUAUUUGGAGUUGGAAAAUAAUGAUUCUUUCUACUUAAUGUGCUCAGCGACUCUGCACCCGAUUGUUUUCUGCCAUUUGAGAAUGCCCGAGGAUGUCAUUAAAACUACGUGUAUCAAUAUUAAACCUUUACAAGUAGUUGACUAAAUGAGCUGUUAUUAUCUUUGUUUCUGACAAUAGUGUACCUUUUUACUUCAUUUAUCAGUAACUAGG
RNAcentral lists this long non-coding RNA (1020 nucleotides) under Ursus maritimus (polar bear). RNAcentral describes it as "lncRNA (ENSUMAG00000006384.1)". Lineage: Eukaryota; Metazoa; Chordata; Mammalia; Carnivora; Ursidae. The record is from RNAcentral.